GUUGUUGGGUAGGGGAGCGUUCUGUAAGCCUGCGAAGGUGUGCUGUGAGGCAUGCUGGAGGUAUCAGAAGUGCGAAUGCUGACAUAAGUAACGAUAAAGCGGGUGAAAAGCCCGCUCGCCGGAAGACCAAGGGUUCCUGUCCAACGUUAAUCGGGGCAGGGUGAGUCGACCCCUAAGGCGAGGCCGAAAGGCGUAGUCGAUGGGAAACAGGUUAAUAUUCCUGUACUUGGUGUUACUGCGAAGGGGGGACGGAGAAGGCUAUGUUGGCCGGGCGACGGUUGUCCCGGUUUAAGCGUGUAGGCUGGUUUUCCAGGCAAAUCCGGAAAA
This 327-nucleotide ribosomal RNA is filed under the name Escherichia coli. RNAcentral describes it as "partial 23S ribosomal RNA". It matches the Rfam family "Bacterial large subunit ribosomal RNA", at positions 1220 to 1549 of the family's 2925-position model. The record is from RNAcentral. Lineage: Bacteria; Pseudomonadati; Pseudomonadota; Gammaproteobacteria; Enterobacterales; Enterobacteriaceae.